Molecule: ribosomal RNA, 468 nt
Filed under: uncultured bacterium
Lineage: Bacteria
Description: partial 16S ribosomal RNA
Rfam family: Bacterial small subunit ribosomal RNA
Source: RNAcentral
GACGAACGCUGGCGGCGUGCUUAACGCAUGCAAGUCGAACGGAAAGGCCCUGCUUUUGUGGGGUGCUCGAGUGGCGAACGGGUGAGUAACACGUGAGUAAACUGCCCUUGACUUUGGGAUAACUUCAGGAAACUGGGGCUAAUACCGGAUAGGAGCUCCUGCUGCAUGGUGGGGGUUGGAAAGUUUCGGCGGUUGGGGCUGGACUCGCGGCUUAUCCGCUUGUUGGUGGGGUAGUGGCUUACCAAGGCUUUGACGGGUAGCCGGCCUGGGAGGGUGACCGGCGACAUGGGGACUGAGAGACGGCGCAGACUCCAACGGGAGGCAGCAGUGGGGAAUAUGGCACAAUGGGCGGAAGCCUGUGGCAGCAACGCCGCGUGCGGGAUAACGGCCUUCGGGUGGUAAACCGCUUUGGCCGGUGACGAAGCGUUAGUGACGGUAAUGGGUAAAGAAGCACCGGCUAACUACGUG